Molecule: ribosomal RNA, 468 nt
Filed under: uncultured bacterium
Lineage: Bacteria
Description: partial 16S ribosomal RNA
Rfam family: Bacterial small subunit ribosomal RNA
Source: RNAcentral
GAUGAACGCUGGCGGCGUGCUUAACACAUGCAAGUCGAACGGAAAGGCCGACUCUUUCUUCGGUCCUCGGGUGGCGAACGGGUGUCUAACACGUGUGUGAUCUGCCCUGUCCUUCUGGAUAAGCUUGGGAAACUGGGUCUAAUACCGGAUAUGACGAUCCCUUGGUCGGGGUUUUUUAAAGCUUUUGCGUUAUGGGAUGUGCUCGCGGCCUAUCAGCUUGUUGGUGGGGUAAUGGCCUACCAAGGCGUCGACGGGUAGCCGGCCUGAGAGGGUGUACGGGCGGAGUGGGACUGAGAUACGGCCCAGACUGCUACGAGAGGCAGCAGUGGGGAAGAUUGCACAAUGGGAGCAAGCCUGAUGCAGAGACGCCGCGUGGGGGAUGAAGGCCUUCGGGUUGUAAACGCCUUUCGCAAUCGACGAAGCCUUUUGGUGACGGUAGGUGGAGAAGAAGCACCGGCUAACUACGUG